This is a non-coding RNA of Mycena filopes, 90 nucleotides long. The record is from the annotation of a GenBank genome assembly. Lineage: Eukaryota; Fungi; Basidiomycota; Agaricomycetes; Agaricales; Mycenaceae.
CACUCGAUGGCACAUGGUGUGCACCUGCUGGGGGUACAUUGUCCUUCAACAGGUUAGCAGGAGGCCCUGGUUCGAUUCCGGGUCGGGUGU